GAUGAACGCUGGCGGCGUGCUUAACACAUGCAAGUCGAGCGAGAAGUUUUGAAAAGAUUCUUCGGAUGAAAUUUAAAAUGGAAAGCGGCGGACGGGUGAGUAACGCGUAGGCAACCUGCCCCAUACAAAGGGAUAGCAUUUGGAAACGAAUAUUAAUACCUUAUGAAACUUAACUAGUGCAUGCUAGGUAGGUCAAAGAUUUAUCGGUAUGGGAUGGGCCUGCGUCUGAUUAGCUAGUUGGUGAGGUAACGGCUCACCAAGGCGACGAUCAGUAGCCGACCUGAGAGGGUGAACGGCCACAUUGGAACUGAGACACGGUCCAAACUCCUACGGGAGGCAGCAGUGGGGAAUAUUGCACAAUGGGGGAAACCCUGAUGCAGCAACGCCGCGUGAACGAUGAAGGCCUUUGGGUCGUAAAGUUCUGUUCUAGGUGAUGAAAACUGACAGUAACUUAGGAGAAAGCCCCGUCUAA
RNAcentral lists this ribosomal RNA (472 nucleotides) under [Eubacterium] brachy. RNAcentral's name for it is "bacterial SSU rRNA". It matches the Rfam family "Bacterial small subunit ribosomal RNA", at positions 28 to 500 of the family's 1533-position model. Lineage: Bacteria; Bacillati; Bacillota; Clostridia; Peptostreptococcales; Anaerovoracaceae. The record is from RNAcentral.